Molecule: ribosomal RNA, 253 nt
Filed under: uncultured bacterium
Lineage: Bacteria
Description: partial 16S ribosomal RNA
Rfam family: Bacterial small subunit ribosomal RNA
Source: RNAcentral
UACGAAGGGUGCAAGCGUUACUCGGAAUUACUGGGCGUAAAGCGUGCGUAGGCGGUUUGUUAAGUCUGUCGUGAAAGCCCCGGGCUCAACCUGGGAAUGGCGAUGGAAACUGGCGAGCUAGAGUACGGUAGAGGAGAGUGGAAUUCCCGGUGUAGCAGUGAAAUGCGUAGAGAUCGGGAGGAACACCAAUGGCGAAGGCAGCACUCUGGGACGUGACUGACGCUGAGACGCGAAAGCGUGGGGAGCAAACAGG